CUAUUAUGUUGUUUUAGAGUCAGUGACUUGUAAAAACAACAAUGAAGAUGUAAUAAUGAAGACAGACUAUAAACAUUUGCCUUGCACAAAGAGAAAACUUAGAAAUAAGGAGAAGGACAGAGACCAUGACAGAGGUGACAACACAAGGAUAAAGAGAGCAAGAGAGAUAGGACAAGAGGAUACUGACAGGCCAGAAGGAGCUGACAUUCAGGGAGCUGCUGAUGUUUUCAGAUUUUUAGAGAGCAAAGGUGAGUAGAAGAGAGAGGCUGCAGAGCUGUUCUUCACUUGUUGAGGACAAUCUUAAACUUUCUCAGCAGAC
Long non-coding RNA from Triplophysa rosa, 319 nucleotides. RefSeq lists it as uncharacterized. The record is from RefSeq and is a predicted model, not a curated record. NCBI's taxonomy places the organism in Eukaryota, Metazoa, Chordata, Actinopteri, Cypriniformes, Nemacheilidae. The transcript has 4 exons.